Long non-coding RNA from Musa acuminata AAA Group (dessert banana), 1362 nucleotides. RefSeq lists it as uncharacterized. Lineage: Eukaryota; Viridiplantae; Streptophyta; Magnoliopsida; Zingiberales; Musaceae. The transcript has 2 exons. The record is from RefSeq and is a predicted model, not a curated record.
AGUCAACAACAGGCCCAAUUUGACCAUUCGCUACUCGCCACGACCCAACACCUACCACGAUCCCUAGAUCACUGACGAUCUCCUACUUUGGCGGACCCGUCCCACAGCGGCCCGAUUUAACCAAUCAAAAGACAGUAUACGAGACGGGUUACCGAAAGCAGGUGCUCUAGUUCAUGAAUAAUUAUGUAGUAAACGACAGAAAGGUGCUAAGGAAUCAGCAUCGCUGUACGGUGGGAUUCAAGCCGAAUAAACGGGUUAUCAGGUUGAGAUUAGGAAUCCGCAUCGCUGUACGGUGGGAUUCAUGUCGAAUAAGCGGGUAAUCGGGUCUACGGUUCGUUCUUGCCCCCGACCGACCCAAAGAUGCUUUCGGCGUCCCGCUACCACGCCUCCCUCGUCCACCUGCUCCAACUCCACUAGUUCCUACCCAUAGCCGCCCUCGACCACCACCCAUUCGUCGCUUCCAAGCUCAUCUUCUCUCUCCGUCGCCGAUGCCUGCCCGGUUCUUCGUUUGGAACUCCCUUAUCCGUGCGUUCCCCGGUUCGGACUUCCACCCAUCCGCUUGUUCUCAAAACCUAUCGCCGAGUUUCCGUGUUGCGACUCGGUGAAAUGGUUUAUGCGCCGGCCUUAAAUGCGGGGCGUUUGCUGGAUUUCUACGUUGGCGGGCCCUCUCUUAGUGGGAUGUCCUGAAGCGCUCGGAAGGUAUUCGAUGGAAUGGGUGUUUGGGAUGUGUUUCAUGAAGCUCCAUAAUUCAAGGAUGUCUUGCAUGGUAGGCAUUUUCAAAAAGGUGAAGGUGGCUUCGUGGCAACUCUCAUACUGGUGCCUCGGAAACUCAAAUCACAGAAUCAGCAAAAAGUUGUCGCAGACACUUCUCUCAAUCUAUCAACUUGCAAAUUCAUACUGGCCCAUGGCACAUGGCUCAUGCAAAUGUGGUAUGGGAAUGGGCCGUUUUGGAAAAUAUUCAUGGUGCAUGUAGAAACCCUGUAUAUGCUCAAGUCUAGGACUGAAAAUGGAUUAAUGUGUACCAUAUGUUGAAAAAGAUUAGGUGCAAAAUAUGCUUAUUAAUAGGUGAUCAUAUUGAUUAUAAUACCAUGAACAUACUAGGUGCAGAAUGAACCUUUUUUUUUUAGUUUUAUGCAGUGUUUAUUGGUAAGAGAGGUCAAGUAAUUACUUCAAUUAUAGGAUUUGGACCAUUUGGCACUCACAUAUUAGGGUUUAAAGAAUCUUAAACCAUGAUAUGAUUGUUUAGGGCCUAUUAAUCAGAUAGAUCAUUUCGAUCAUCAAAUUGUGAAUGAUUGCAGAGAAUUAUGCUACUGAUUGUUAUUUGAUCAUCUUGGAAAACCUUCUUUUGCUCAACUUAUUGAA